CAUUUAAAGUGGUACGCGAGCUGGGUUCAGAACGUCGUGAGACAGUUCGGUCCCUAUCUGCCGUGGGCGUUGGAUGAUUGAGGGGAGUUGCUCCUAGUACGAGAGGACCGGAGUGAACGAACCGCUGGUGUUCGGGUUGUCAUGCCAAUGGCAUUGCCCGGUAGCUAUGUUCGGAAUCGAUAACCGCUGAAAGCAUCUAAGCGGGAAGCGAGCCCCAAGAUGAGUCAUCCCUUGGACUAUAAGUCCACUAAAGAGCCGUUCGAGACUAGGACGUUGAUAGGUCAGGUGUGUAAGCGUUGUGAGGCGUUGAGCUAACUGAUACUAAUGACUCGAGAGGCUUAACCAUACAACCCAGAUGGGUUUUG
Molecule: ribosomal RNA, 365 nt
Filed under: Shewanella xiamenensis
Lineage: Bacteria; Pseudomonadati; Pseudomonadota; Gammaproteobacteria; Alteromonadales; Shewanellaceae
Description: partial 23S ribosomal RNA
Rfam family: Bacterial large subunit ribosomal RNA
Source: RNAcentral